Molecule: transfer RNA, 63 nt
Filed under: Pithemera bicincta
Lineage: Eukaryota; Metazoa; Annelida; Clitellata; Crassiclitellata; Megascolecidae
Description: tRNA-Phe
Source: RNAcentral
AUUUGGGUAGCUUAAUAAAAAGCACAUCCCUGAAGAGGAUAUGACGACAAAUGUCCCCAAAUA